Molecule: transfer RNA, 74 nt
Filed under: bacterium
Lineage: Bacteria
Also listed under: 2 other names
Description: tRNA-Pro
Rfam family: tRNA
About the family: Transfer RNA (tRNA) molecules are approximately 80 nucleotides in length.
Source: RNAcentral
CGGGGCGUAGCGCAGUCCGGUAGCGCGCAUGGUUCGGGACCAUGAAGUCGGCGGUUCAAAUCCGCCCGCCCCGA